Molecule: long non-coding RNA, 1499 nt
Organism: Adelges cooleyi (spruce gall adelgid)
Lineage: Eukaryota; Metazoa; Arthropoda; Insecta; Hemiptera; Adelgidae
Exons: 3
Source: RefSeq, a predicted model, not a curated record
UCAAAUGAUAAAAAAAUCAACCGUGUUAAAAUAUAUUAUAUUUUCUUAAAUAGUACAAAUUUUUACGAUGCAUUUAUAAUGACAAAAAAACAACUAGUUCAUAUGACGACUACGAUAAUUAUUGUAUGAUGGUAGGUCGUCUGAAGUCAUAAAAAGCUUAUCGGUAUGCUAAGAAAUAAUUGUUUUAUCAUUUGUCUAUAGAGCUGGAAUGUGACCCGAGGAACAUUAAAUUGACAUGUUAUUUUUAUAUUUCUCCAUGGACACUGAUCCAUAGACUGAUUUUGAAAAACAUCUGGUUUUUUUAAUGAUAAUGCCGUCCGGUGGUUGUCCGUGGAACGCUGCGCGUUGAUUGCUGCCCACGAACCGCGUGAGAUCAUUAAUUCCUGUUACCAGUCCGACGAUUUGAUUUAAUCUCAAGUUCAUAAAUCCGUUGGAACACACAACCAUCGCUGCCGGAGCAUAACCCGUCUCCGUCCACGCGCAUCCUAUGUGUAAGAAUUUUCUCUCCUUAAAACUUAUCGUAACCGCUUUGACCGCCAAGAGUUUCGUUUUCAGUUAGGUAUACUACUUAUAUUGACCAAAAAUUUAAUCAUAUUUUUUAAUCAUUUGAAUAACUAUUACUGAACAAAUUCAUAUUGUUUAGUUUGGUUUAUUUAAAAAUAUAUAUAUCCAGAGUAGCUUAAUAUAAACUAAUUUCUGUAAAGUAUUAAGUGAAUAAUAAUUAUUUAAAAAACCUACUAAUAGAUUAUAAAUAACAUUCAGUCUUACAAGGUAUUUUAAUACCGUCAGUUAAAUACAUUAUUUGGUAUUGAAUACUAUUUUUGAUAAUUCGUUAUUAAUUAUUUAAUUAUUAUAUAUAAACAUUUUGUAUGGCACGGGAUAAUAUUUAGUUAUAGUUUUCCUUUUUUUUUUAAAUUCAGUAAGACAAUCAGACUGAUUUGAUAAUCUCACCAACAUAUGAGCAAGUUUGCAUUAAAUUACAUUAAGUAUAUAUUUAUUAAGUAUGACGUUUAUACAAUUACGACCCUAGUUUGAUCAUAUUUAUUAAUAUAACAGAAUUGUUUAAUCUAGUUUACAGUAAUUUUAUAGUAUGCCAUAUUCUUAUUAUCCCAUGCAACAAUUUUUUUUCUCUUCACAAGUCUUUAUCCGGCAAUAGGUUCACUUUGGACUAUCUACUUAUAAUGUAUAUAUUGAUUUGUGUGGAAACUUGAAAAUUAAAUAUAUGUUUUAUUCUAGUUAUUUAUGUUAGGUAUUAUAACUACAAUAGUGUCAUAUGUUCCGUUUUCCUUGCUCUAUUAUAUCCUUUAGGUACUAAAUUUUGUUAAUAAUAUAUCUUCUAAAAGACAAAGCUCAUAAAAUCCUACUUGUAUUCAUUAACUACAGAAUACAGAUGUAAGAUGUGGUAAAACUAAUUUAUACUUGACAGCCAAAUUUUGCAAUCGUCAAUGAGUUAAGGUAAAAAGUAAAAUUUUUUUAUUUAAAUAGUAAUAUAAAACAUU